UGAGAGGAGGGGGCUUCCACUUCCAUCACCUGGCAAGGGAACCUCCACAGCCCAAGAAUAUUAACAUUUAUCAGGUGCCGGGCAUGGGCCUCAUGUGUUUUAUGUAAUUCAAUCCUCCCAACAAAAGUAUGAGAAAGACCACACUCAGGCCAAGCACUGUGGUUCCCGCCUGAAAUCCCAGCGCUUUGAGAGGUGGAGGCAAGAGGAUUGCUUGAGCUCAGAAGUUCAAGACCACCCUGGGCAACAUAGU
RNAcentral lists this long non-coding RNA (250 nucleotides) under Pan troglodytes (chimpanzee). Its description in RNAcentral is "long non-coding RNA NONPTRT001939". Lineage: Eukaryota; Metazoa; Chordata; Mammalia; Primates; Hominidae. The record is from RNAcentral.